UACGCAUGCAGUCGAACGGUCCCGGUUGGCUUCGGCCGGCCGGGAUAGUGGCAGACAGCUGAGUAACACGUAAGUAACCUACCCUGAAGAGGGGGAUAAUCUCGAGAAAUCGGGCCUAAUACCGCGUAAUGUCCAGACCGGCAGUCCGGACUGGAAGGAAAGGUUCUCGCUUCGGCGGGAAUCGCUCUGGGAGAAGCUUGCGGCCUAUCAGGUAGUUGGUGGGGUAAAAGCCUACCAAGCCUAAGACGGGUAACCGAUGUGAGAGCAUGAUCGGUCAGAGGGGGACUGAGACACGGCCCCCACUCCUACGGGAGGCAGCAGCAGGGAAUCUUGCGCAAUGGGCGAAAGCCUGACGCAGCGACACCGCGUGAAGGAUGAAGGUCUUAGGAUUGUAAACUUCUUUUCUAGGGGAAGAGAACGGACGGUACCUUAGGAAUAAGGAUCGGCUAACUACGUGCCAGCAGCCGCGGUAAUACGUAGGAUCCGAGCGUUGUCCGGAUUUACUGGGCGUAAAGGGCGAGUAGGCGGCAUGCUAAGUCUCAUGUGAAAUCUCCCGGCUCAACUGGGAGGGGUCAUGGGAAACUGGCAAGCUUGAGAGCAGUAGAGGGAAGCGGAAUUCCCGGAGUAGUGGUGAAAUGCGUAGAUACCGGGAGGAACACCAGUGGCGAAGGCGGCUUCCUGGGCUGUUUCUGACGCUGAGGAGCGAAAGCGUGGGGAGCAAACCGGAUUAGAUACCCGGGUAGUCCACGCCCUAAACGAUGGAUACUAGGUAUAGGGGGUAUCGACCCCCCCUGUGCCGAAGCUAACGCGAUAAGUAUCCCGCCUGGGGAGUACGGCCGCAAGGCUAAAACUCAAAGGAAUUGACGGGGGCCCGCACAAGCAGCGGAGCGUGUGGUUUAAUUCGAUGAUAAGCGAAGAACCUUACCAAGGCUUGACAUGUAUCCGCUAUCCUGGGAAACCAGGCUUUCCUUCGGGGAGCGUAGACAGGUGCUGCAUGGCGGUCGUCAGCUCGUGUCGUGAGAUGUUGGGUUAAGUCCCGCAACGAGCGCAACCCCCGUUGUUAGUUAUUCUGUCUAGCGAGACUGCUCCUAAAAAGGGAGAGGAAGGUGGGGACGACGUCAAGUCAGCACGGCUCUUACGUCCUGGGCCACAAACACGCUACAAUGGUCGGUACAGAGGGUCGCGAAGGCGCGAGCCGGAGCUAAUCCCAAAAAGCCGGCCCCAGUUGGAAUUGCAGGCUGAAACCCGCCUGCAUGAACGUGGAGUUGCUAGUAACCGCAGGUCAGCACACUGCGGUGAAUACGUUCCCGGGCCUUGUACACACCGCCCGUCACGUCAUGGAAGUCGGUAACACUUGAAGUCGCUGAGCCAACCCGCGGGAGGCAGGCGCCGAG
This 1394-nucleotide ribosomal RNA is filed under the name uncultured prokaryote. Its description in RNAcentral is "partial 16S ribosomal RNA". It matches the Rfam family "Bacterial small subunit ribosomal RNA". The record is from RNAcentral.